GACGAACGCUGGCGGCGUGCCUAAUACAUGCAAGUUGAGCGAUGAAGCUUGGUGCUUGCACCAAUUUGAAGAGCAGCGAACGGGUGAGUAACGCGUGGGGAAUCUGCCUUUGAGCGGGGGACAACAUUUGGAAACGAAUGCUAAUACCGCAUAACAACUUUAAACAUAAGUUUUAAGUUUGAAAGAUGCAAUUGCAUCACUCAAAGAUGAUCCCGCGUUGUAUUAGCUAGUUGGUGAGGUAAAGGCUCACCAAGGCGAUGAUACAUAGCCGACCUGAGAGGGUGAUCGGCCACAGUGGGACUGAGACACGGCCCAAACUCCUACGGGAGGCAGCAGUAGGGAAUCUUCGGCAAUGGACGAAAGUCUGACCGAGCAACGCCGCGUGAGUGAAGAAGGGUUUCGGAUCGGAAAACUCUGUUGGUAGAGAAGAACGUUGGUGAGAGUGGAAAGCUCAUCAAGUGACGGUAACUACCCAGAAAGGGACGGCUAACUACGUG
This 497-nucleotide ribosomal RNA is filed under the name uncultured bacterium. RNAcentral's name for it is "partial 16S ribosomal RNA". It matches the Rfam family "Bacterial small subunit ribosomal RNA", at positions 28 to 507 of the family's 1533-position model. The record is from RNAcentral.